This 914-nucleotide ribosomal RNA is filed under the name uncultured Actinomyces sp. Its description in RNAcentral is "bacterial SSU rRNA". It matches the Rfam family "Bacterial small subunit ribosomal RNA". The record is from RNAcentral. Lineage: Bacteria; Bacillati; Actinomycetota; Actinomycetes; Actinomycetales; Actinomycetaceae.
GACGAACGCUGGCGGCGUGCUUAACACAUGCAAGUCGAACGGUGAAGGGAUCAGCUUGCUGGUUCUGGAUGAGUGGCGAACGGGUGAGUAACGCGUGAGUAACCUGCCCCCUUCUUCUGGAUAACCGCAUGAAAGUGUGGCUAAUACGGGAUAUUCUGGGUCUGUCGCAUGGCGGGCCUGGGAAAGAUGCGCCUUUGGGUGUUUUUGGUGGGGGAUGGGCUCGCGGCCUAUCAGCUUGUUGGUGGGGUGAUGGCCUACCAAGGCGGUGACGGGUAGCCGGCCUGGGAGGGUGGACGGUCACACUGGGACUGAGACACGGCCCAGACUCCUACGGGAGGCAGCAGUGGGGAAUAUUGCACAAUGGGCGCAAGCCUGAUGCAGCGACGCCGCGUGAGGGAUGGAGGCCUUCGGGUUGUAAACCUCUUUCGCCAGUGAAGCAGGCCUGCUCCUUGUGGGUGGGUUGACGGUAGCUGGAUAAGAAGCGCCGGCUAACUACGUGCCAGCAGCCGCGGUAAUACGUGGGGCGCGAGCGUUGUCCGGAAUUAUUGGGCGUAAAGAGCUCGUAGGCGGCUGGUCGCGUCUGUCGUGAAAUCCUCUGGCUUAACUGGGGGCUUGCGGUGGGUACGGGCCGGCUUGAGUGCGGUAGGGGAGACUGGAACUCCUGGUGUAGCGGUGGAAUGCGCAGAUAUCAGGAAGAACACCGGUGGCGAAGGCGGGUCUCUGGGCCGUUACUGACGCUGACGAGCGAAAGCGUGGGGAGCGAACAGGUUAGAUACCCUUGUAGUCCAAGGGGGAAUUCCACAGGGAUAUCAGCUUAUCGAUACGUCGACCUCCAGGGGGGGCCCGGUACCCAGCUUUGUUCCUUUAAUGAGAGAUAAAUACCCCUUGCUUAAUAAGGUCAUGCAAUUCCAUUC